RNAcentral lists this long non-coding RNA (545 nucleotides) under Capra hircus (goat). RNAcentral's name for it is "lncRNA (ENSCHIG00010003026.1)". Lineage: Eukaryota; Metazoa; Chordata; Mammalia; Artiodactyla; Bovidae. The record is from RNAcentral.
AAGAAAGAAGGGGGAAGGGGUGGGGGCGGGGAGAGAGGGCGGAGGGAGAGAAGAGAUUUAAAAAGUAACAUCUGUGGCUAAACUUAGUCGUGAGCCUUGGAGAAAAUAAGAUGAAAGCAAGGAAUGGGACGGAGUGAGGGUUACCGGUGCUCAGCUGGCUCCAAUUACAACCUAAUAGAGAACGAAACAGAUUGCGCAGUCGUUUCAGGCUUAAUAAAAGAACAGCCUUCUUGCGUUAAUCUAGUCCGGGCAGUCAGAGAAGCUGAGUCCUCCCGGGAGGCAGAUGUAGAAAGAAAAGCUCUCCUCGCCUCAAGCUCAGUAGACGCCACCUAGUGGGCAAAUGGCAGACUCGCACUCAGCCGGCAACCGUGGCCAGCCCAGCUCCUUGAAUACGGUGCCUACACCUACCACCAUUUCCUUUCAGUCAUCUGAUCUGGACUGGAAUGUAUUACUACAGCCCACAUCUCAGAAAAUCCUGACUUUCUAUAGAUGAAGCCCAUUAAAAGAUUUUUAGCUUGUAAGUACCCAAAGCCAGUAUUUUUCCU